GGGGGAGAGCAGGAUCCUGGGCUGUGCCCCCGGUACCCUGGGCUCCGGGGCCAGUGCUGCUGGAAUUGGGCUCCCGGGGCCACUCAGUCCCCU
Molecule: microRNA precursor, 93 nt
Filed under: Canis lupus familiaris (dog)
Lineage: Eukaryota; Metazoa; Chordata; Mammalia; Carnivora; Canidae
Also listed under: 1 other name
Description: mir-8799 microRNA precursor family
Rfam family: mir-8799 microRNA precursor family
Source: Rfam by way of RNAcentral